This 492-nucleotide ribosomal RNA is filed under the name uncultured bacterium. Its description in RNAcentral is "partial 16S ribosomal RNA". It matches the Rfam family "Bacterial small subunit ribosomal RNA", at positions 29 to 507 of the family's 1533-position model. The record is from RNAcentral.
AGUGAACGCUGGCGGUAGGCCUAACACAUGCAAGUCGAACGGCAGCACAGUAAGAGCUUGCUCUUACGGGUGGCGAGUGGCGGACGGGUGAGGAAUACAUCGGAAUCUACUUUUUCGUGGGGGAUAACGUAGGGAAACUUACGCUAAUACCGCAUACGACCUACGGGUGAAAGCAGGGGAUCUUCGGACCUUGCGCGAUUGAAUUAGCCGAUGUCGGAUUAGCUAGUUGGCGGGGUAAAGGCCCACCAAGGCGACGAUACGUAGCUGGUCUGAGAGGAUGAUCAGCCACACUGGAACUGAGACACGGUCCAGACUCCUACGGGAGGCAGCAGUGGGGAAUAUUGGGCAAUGGGCGCAAGCCUGAUCCAGCCAUACCGCGUGGGUGAAGAAGGCCUUCGGGUCGUAAAGCCCUUUUGUUGGGAAAGAAAAGCAGCAGGUUAAUACCCCGCUGUUCUGACGGUACCCAAAGAAUAAGCACCGGCUAACUUCGUG